Transfer RNA from Pachysolen tannophilus NRRL Y-2460, 72 nucleotides. It matches the Rfam family "tRNA". Rfam says of the family: Transfer RNA (tRNA) molecules are approximately 80 nucleotides in length. Their secondary structure includes four short double-helical elements and three loops (D, anti-codon, and T loops). The record is from Rfam. Lineage: Eukaryota; Fungi; Ascomycota; Pichiomycetes; Alaninales; Pachysolenaceae.
GACCUUUUAGUCUAAUGGUUAUGACAUUAAUUCUUCAUAUUAAUAGUAUUGGUUCGAUUCCAAUAAAGGUUA